This 218-nucleotide unclassified non-coding RNA is filed under the name uncultured Tomentella. RNAcentral's name for it is "sequence contains ITS2". The record is from RNAcentral. Lineage: Eukaryota; Fungi; Basidiomycota; Agaricomycetes; Thelephorales; Thelephoraceae.
ACACCUCAACUCUCACGGUUUGCCGUGAUGAGCUUGGACUUUGGGGGUAUUGCUGGCCUUAUGGUCAGCUCCUCUCAAAUGGAUCAGCUUGCCAGUGUUUGGUGGCAUCGCAGGUGUGAUAACUAUCUACGCUUGUGGUCUCCCACCAGGUAACCCUCAGCAAUGGGGGUUCGCUGGAGCUCAUAAAUGUCUCUCCUCAGUGAGGACAGCUUUUGAAC